Bubalus bubalis (water buffalo) is the source of this 856-nucleotide long non-coding RNA. RefSeq lists it as uncharacterized. The record is from RefSeq and is a predicted model, not a curated record. The transcript is spliced from 3 exons. Lineage: Eukaryota; Metazoa; Chordata; Mammalia; Artiodactyla; Bovidae.
UGAUCAGUUUCACAGAUGGGAAGAAUGUGAGAUAAAGCGAGGACCCUGGGAGAGGGGCUGAGAAGGCAAGCCUGUCCCCUGGCUGCAGAUGCAACAUGGGUGUUUUUUUGCAGGGAAUGAAACUCAGGUCCUGGCAGAUCCUGGGCAACUGGAUUCAGGACAUUUGUCAGCUGCACAGUCUGUUCUUAAACACCCACAACCUUCCAGGCUGUGUUCUCUUGCUCAGACUCUAAGUGGGGCACCAUUUCCCCAAGAGCCAUCAGCAUCCCCAACAGGAGAUGAUGAACACAGUCCCUCUGAAACUCAUCCGUGUUGCCCUUUGUCUUCUCCUUUCCAUAUAUCUGGAGUGAUGGACUUUAUGGCCACUUCUUCGGGGGAUACAGAAUUAUAGAUCUCUGGAUUUAUGUCUGUUUGCUGGGUCCCCUCUGGUCCUGGCAUCAUAAGGAUCCCUGGCUUCAGUGGCAAGCAGGGAGGAGUUUAGGGGACACCAGCAGUCAUCGCAUGAGAGCCUUCAAGUUCCUGCUGGAAGAGGUCCAAAUGGAGAACAGAGGCCUCCUGCCAACUGCUCCAGAGUCACAAGAGCUGGCGACCUCUACAAGCUGAUCCCUGCCUGCCCUUCCCCUACACCCCCACCCAGACUUCAGAUGACUGCAAACCAGGCGCGCAGCUUUACUACAACAGAAAGAACGGCUUUGUGUGGAUGUCCCCAGUCUAGCUGCUCCCGAAUUCCUACUCCCCAGAAGCUGUGAGCAAUAGUAAAUGUUCUUGUUUUAAGUCACUAGAUUUUGGGUUCACUUGUUUUGUAGCAAUAGAUAACUAAUAAGAAAGAAAAAAAUAAAGUGAAGAUGCUCUGGCA